CCUACGGGAGGCUGCAGUGAGGAAUAUUGGUCAAUGGUCGGGAGACUGAACCAGCCAAGCCGCGUGAGGGAUGAAGGUACAGAGUAUCGUAAACCUCUUUUGUCAGGGAACAAAGGCGGGGACGUGUCCCCGGAUGAGUGUACCUGAAGAAAAAGCAUCGGCUAACUCCGUGCCAGCAGCCGCGGUAAUACGGAGGAUGCGAGCGUUAUCCGGAUUUAUUGGGUUAAAAGGGUGCGCAGGCGGUCUGUUAAGUCAGCGGGCAAAGCCCGGGGCUCAACCCCGGCCCGCCGUUGAAACUGGCAGUCUCGAGUUGGAGAGAAGUAUGCGGAAUGCGCGGUGUAGCGGUGAAAUGCAUAGAUAUCGCGCAGAACUCCGAUUGCGAAGGCAGCAUGCCGGCUCCACACUGACGCUGAGGCACGAAAGCGUGGGUAUCGAACAGGAUUAGAUACCCCUGUAGUC
This 459-nucleotide ribosomal RNA is filed under the name uncultured bacterium. RNAcentral's name for it is "partial 16S ribosomal RNA". It matches the Rfam family "Bacterial small subunit ribosomal RNA", at positions 338 to 795 of the family's 1533-position model. The record is from RNAcentral.